This 208-nucleotide ribosomal RNA is filed under the name uncultured bacterium. RNAcentral's name for it is "partial 16S ribosomal RNA". It matches the Rfam family "Bacterial small subunit ribosomal RNA", at positions 568 to 774 of the family's 1533-position model. The record is from RNAcentral.
CUCGUAGGCGGCUCAGUAAGUCGGGUGUGAAACCCUCAGGCUCAACCUGGGGACGCCACUCGAUACUGCUGUGGCUAGAGUCCAGUAGGGGAGUGUGGAAUUCCCGGUGUAGCGGUGAAAUGCGCAGAUAUCGGGAGGAACACCAGCGGCGAAGGCGGCACUCUGGGCUGGUACUGACGCUGAGGAGCGAAAGCGUGGGUAGCAAACA